CCAGACUCCUACGGGAGGCAGCAGUGGGGGAUAUUGCACAAUGGGGGGAACCCUGAUGCAGCGACGCCGCGUGGGUGAAGGAGCGUUUCGGCGCGUAAAGCCCUAUCGGCAGGGAAGAAGAUGACGGUACCUGACCAAGAAGCCCCGGCUAACUACGUGCCAGCAGCCGCGGUAAUACGUAGGGGGCAAGCGUUAUCCGGAUUUACUGGGUGUAAAGGGGGCGCAGACGGCAAUGCAAGCCAGGAGUGAAAGCCCGGGGCCCAACCCCGGGACUGCUUUUGAAACUGUACAGCUUGAUUGCAGGAGAGGCAAGUGGAAUUCCUAGUGUAGCGGUGAAAUGCGUAGAUAUUAGGAGGAACACCAGUGGCGAAGGCGGCUUGCUGGACUGUAAAUGACGCUGAGGCUCGAAAGCGUGGGGAGCAAACAGGAUUAGAUACCCCAGUA
RNAcentral lists this ribosomal RNA (444 nucleotides) under uncultured bacterium. RNAcentral's name for it is "partial 16S ribosomal RNA". It matches the Rfam family "Bacterial small subunit ribosomal RNA", at positions 331 to 792 of the family's 1533-position model. The record is from RNAcentral.